RNAcentral lists this unclassified non-coding RNA (176 nucleotides) under uncultured Cantharellales. Its description in RNAcentral is "sequence contains ITS1". Lineage: Eukaryota; Fungi; Basidiomycota; Agaricomycetes; Cantharellales. The record is from RNAcentral.
AUGAACUUGGGGUUUCUGUGCCGCCUUUAACGAGGAUUGUGCACGCUACCCCUUAAUCCUUUUAACACCUGUGCACAUUGAGAGAAUUGUCGAGUGGCUUAAUUGCCGCAUGGCGAAUCUCUAUUACAAACUCAUAGUCAAACGAAUGUUCAUUGGCCGAAAGGCUCUAAAUAAAA